UGACCCACCUGCCUCAGCCUUCCAAAAUGCUGGGAUUACAGGGGUGAGCCACCUGGCCUGCAUCUUCAUUUUUGAUGUGAAGAACAUGGGGAAGGGAAUCUCUCCUAAAUACUAUGGUACCAUUUAGAUUUUGGGUGAGCAGUGAGGAUCAUUGUCAGAUUUAAGAUUUAAAUAAUGGAUCUGACAGGUGAAGGAAUAGCUAACUUCUCUUGCAGAAUCUCUAACCCUUUGAUGACUUACUAACAUGUGAUCUCACUUUUCAUUGGGCCUUUGCCUUGUCCACCACUGAUUUAUCUCUUGUUGACAUACCUGCCCUUACGGUGUUGAGAUUCAUAUACAUGUAUGCAUAGCCUCCUCCAUGGGGACAGGUCUCUUUUCCCUCUUGGGGUGGGGUGAAGGCAGACUUAUGAUCUGGCCUCCAUUAGUGUUCUUAAUGCAAUCUCAGUAGUUGGGGAAGCUUCUCUUUGCUUGUGCAGUAUUUCAUUAAAUGUUUGGCCACAGAGCUGAAGUGUGGACACUGGUGAGUGGAGAGGAAACAGUGUGGCCUGGCCUUUGCUUUGGGGCAGGCCUUUCCCUAAUGUCUAGGAAACUAACACUGUGGAUGGCCAAGUGGAUGAGUGGUCUCUGAAAUCAGUGGGGAGUUGCUGCUUCAACAUUGCAACCAAUGAAUGCUGAUGGCCAAACUCACAAUCCACCCUAAUACUAACACAUCACUGGAAAAGGUAAACUGACUAAUUAGGAUGUCUGGGGCACAGGAGAAAUUUUAUAAAUGUUGAUUAAUUUGAGGCUUCCUUCCAAUUCUCUUUGUAAUAUCUUGUUGUUUUCUUUACUAGGGAUUUCAGAACAUAAGCUACUCUCCACAGUAAACACAGGCCCAAGAAAACUUGACAGAAAAGGAGUGGAGGAUGUGAACUGGAUAGAUAUGGGAUAAAGUAAUAAAAGGUUGUUAACGUUUAGUCAGUGGUUAAUGUGUGCCAGACACUGUAAUAACCUGCAUAUCUAAUUAACAUAUGUCUAUUGCCAUUUAAUUUUCACAAUAGCAUGAGGCAGAUACUACUUGAUCUCCAUUUUGUACAGGAGAAAGCUGAGUCUUAGAGAAGCUUAAUUACUUGCCAAUAUCAUGCAGUUAGUAAGUGUCAGAGCUGGGAUGCAAAUGUAAGUAUGUCUGACUCUGAAUCCCAUGCUUUUUAUACCCAUGAGAUGCUGGGAACUCAGUAGAUAAAGGUGAGAGUGGGUGGUUAUGGAUAGAGAACAGUAGUAUGUUUGAGAAAGAAUAACUGGUCAUUGCAGGGAUGAAGCAACAGAUGUCUCUUCUGGUGACAGUUUGAAACCACAUUGUAAGUAAUUUGUGCUACUAAUAAUUUGUUGUUACUAAUAAUGGAUUAUUUGUGAGUGACUUACAUAAAAAUAAAUAGGAGAAAAUUUAAUGUCACUUUUACCUGGAUUAUGAUGUGUUUCUUUUUAAGUGAGAGGGAAGGAAGUUGAGUUACAGAUAGUUAACUCCCACAUGUAUGUCCUGUACUAGUGAAGUGAUACCAGGUAUAUAUCAACUGUUACGGGAAUGAGGUGCAAAUAAGGUAAGAAUCACUAGACUGAGGAUGUUACGCAUGGCGGAUGUUACAACCCUCAUGAACUUUGCUCUCAAAUCUCUUCUCCUUUGGCUCCUAGGGUCUUUGAAUAGAGGUGAGGAGGGGAUGUUUGUAUCUGGGAGCAAACCUCUAUUAAAUUGGACACAGAGAUCAGAAGCAACCAAGUCAAAGCUGCUUCCCACCAAGCUGUGUGGUCCUGGCCAACUGUUUUGAUUGGUGGGAUUUGGGGUUCUUUCCAGGUUGUCUCCUCUACGCAAAAUGCUGGUAGACACCAUGAUGUGCCUGCUCAGGCCCCACAGCUUCCCAUCCUCUGCUUGGAACUGAGUGAGAUACUUUGGCUGUUGGAGGAUUGCCAGAUGUUACUGCUGUAAAAAGAUGGGGACAAAGAAGUGCUUCUGAAGUCUGAUGCACUACAUGUUACUCAAGCUCAUAAAAUUCAUGCAGCAAAUGCUUUUGGUGUUCUGCUCUGGAUCCCCCAGCACUCACCCUUGUACCAGCUGAUAGCUCCCUACUAUGACAACGCUGAACUAAAUUCAGUCUUGGGUGCUUUUUCCACUAUUAUGUUUGCUCCAGUUGCUGCUGCCAUUGUUGUAAAUAAAAGAUGCAGGUUUUACACAGCAGAGUGAACCUCU
Sapajus apella (tufted capuchin) is the source of this 2221-nucleotide long non-coding RNA. RefSeq lists it as uncharacterized. Lineage: Eukaryota; Metazoa; Chordata; Mammalia; Primates; Cebidae. The transcript has 3 exons. The record is from RefSeq and is a predicted model, not a curated record.